Molecule: transfer RNA, 66 nt
Filed under: Vicugna pacos (alpaca)
Lineage: Eukaryota; Metazoa; Chordata; Mammalia; Artiodactyla; Camelidae
Also listed under: 1 other name
Rfam family: tRNA
About the family: Transfer RNA (tRNA) molecules are approximately 80 nucleotides in length. Their secondary structure includes four short double-helical elements and three loops (D, anti-codon, and T loops). Further hydrogen bonds mediate the characteristic L-shaped molecular structure. tRNAs have two regions of fundamental functional importance: the anti-codon, which is responsible for specific mRNA codon recognition, and the 3' end, to which the tRNAs corresponding amino acid is attached (by aminoacyl-tRNA synthetases). tRNAs cope with the degeneracy of the genetic code in two manners: having more than one tRNA (with a specific anti-codon) for a particular amino acid; and 'wobble' base-pairing, i.e. permitting non-standard base-pairing at the 3rd anti-codon position.
Source: Rfam by way of RNAcentral
GGUAUAGCUCAAGUGGUAGAGCACACGCUUAGCAUGCAUGAGGUCCUGGGUUCAAUCCCCAGUACC